RNAcentral lists this ribosomal RNA (331 nucleotides) under uncultured bacterium. RNAcentral's name for it is "bacterial SSU rRNA". It matches the Rfam family "Bacterial small subunit ribosomal RNA", at positions 28 to 363 of the family's 1533-position model. The record is from RNAcentral.
GAUGAACGCUGGCGGCGUGCCUAACACAUGCAAGUCGAGCGGAUUCUCUUCGGAGAAGAGCGGCGGACGGGUGAGUAACGCGUGGGUAACCUGCCCUGUACACACGGAUAACAUACCGAAAGGUAUGCUAAUACGAGAUAAUAUACUUUUAUCGCAUGGUAGAAGUAUCAAAAGCUUUUGCGGUACAGGAUGGACCCGCAUCUGAUUAGCUAGUUGGUAAGGUAACGGCUUACCAAGGCGACGAUCAGUAGCCGACCUGUGAGGGUGAUCGGCCACAUUGGAACUGAGACACGGGUCCAAACUCCUACGGGAAGGCAAGCAGUGGGGAAUA